RNAcentral lists this ribosomal RNA (413 nucleotides) under uncultured bacterium. RNAcentral describes it as "bacterial SSU rRNA". It matches the Rfam family "Bacterial small subunit ribosomal RNA", at positions 505 to 916 of the family's 1533-position model. The record is from RNAcentral.
GUGUCAGCCGCCGCGGUAAUACGUAGGUGGCGAGCGUUGUCCGGAAUUACUGGGCGUAAAGGGCGCGUAGGCGGCCAAAUAAGUCAGAUGUGAAACCCCUAGGCUCAACUUAGGGCUUGCAUUUGAAACUGAUUGGCUUGAGUGUCGGAGAGGGAAGCGGAAUUCCUAGUGUAGCGGUGAAAUGCGUAGAUAUUAGGAGGAACACCAGUGGCGAAGGCGGCUUUCUGGACGAUAACUGACGCUGAGGCGCGAAAGCGUGGGGAGCAAACAGGAUUAGAUACCCUGGUAGUCCACGCUGUAAACGAUGGAUACUAGGUGUGGGAGGUAUCGAACCCUACCGUGCCGCAGUAAACGCAAUAAGUAUCCCGCCUGGGGAGUACGGCCGCAAGGUUGAAACUCAAAUAAAUUGACGG